GGCUCAGGAUGAACGCUAGCGGCAGGCCUAACACAUGCAAGUCGAGGGGCAGCGCGGGUAGCAAUACCUGGCGGCGACCGGCGCACGGGUGAGUAACGCGUAUGCAACCUACCCUUCACUGGGGGAUAGCCCGCCGAAAGGCGGAUUAAUACCCCAUCGCCCCUGAGGGCGGCAUCGCACUCAGGGUAAAGGAGCAAUCCGGUGAGGGAUGGGCAUGCGUGCCAUUAGCUGGUUGGCGGGGUAACGGCCCACCAAGGCGACGAUGGCUCGGGGGUCUGAGAGGAUGGUCCCCCACACUGGUACUGAGACACGGACCAGACUCCUACGGGAGGCAGCAGUGAGGAAUAUUGGUCAAUGGGCGGAAGCCUGAACCAGCCAUGCCGCGUGCAGGAAGACGGCCCUACGGGUUGUAAACUGCUUUUCCGGGGGAAGAAUAAGGCCCAUGCGUGGGCCGAUGCCGGUACCCCGGGAAUAAGGAUCGGCUAACUCCGUGCCAGCAGCCGCGGUAAUACGGAGGAUCCGAGCGUUAUCCGGAUUUACUGGGUUUAAAGGGUGCGUAGGCGGGCGCUUAAGUCAGCGGUGAAAUACGGGGGCUCAACCUUCGAACGGCCGUUGAUACUGGGCGCCUUGGAUUCGGUCGAGGCGGGCGGAAUACGACAUGUAGCGGUGAAAUGCUUAGAUAUGUCGCAGAACGCCGAUUGCGAAGGCAGCUCGCCAGGCCGACAUUGACGCUGAGGCACGAAAGCGUGGGGAUCGAACAGGAUUAGAUACCCUGGUAGUCCACGCCGUAAACGAUGAUGGCUGGAUGUUGGCGAUACACCGUCAGCGUCUGAGGGAAACCAUUAAGCCAUCCACCUGGGGAGUAC
This 866-nucleotide ribosomal RNA is filed under the name uncultured bacterium. RNAcentral describes it as "bacterial SSU rRNA". It matches the Rfam family "Bacterial small subunit ribosomal RNA", at positions 21 to 883 of the family's 1533-position model. The record is from RNAcentral.